GUUUCACCAAAGGAGGUGGGGAAAGGCAGAGAGGCACACAAAGACUCUGUGAAGCAACAGUCACUCCCAGGGAGGACUGCCAAAGAGAAAACAGCCUCGCAGGCAGAGGAACUAAAUGUGGAGCGUGCAGUCAAACGGCACAGCAGAUAACUACUCUGCAACUGAAAACCACAACAAGUCGAGGAGAGGAAGGCCAAAACACGAGGAGCAACACAGAGAAGGAUUAAGAGCAGCAUUAAAUUGGUCAAAGGGAUUUGUUUUUUUGUGUCAUCUCACUUUUUUCCCCCACUCAGAGUAUCAUCAGUACCUGAGGAAUUAUCUGUCCUAAUCUAAAUCUCAUCCUGCUUAUCUCCGUCUGCUGGUCCCCUCCUCUCUCUGACGUUUUCAACAACAAACUGACUCUGGCACCUAAAACACUGAGCAGGUAACUCCUCCAGGGGAGACUUGUCAUGUUCAUCACUGUCUCCUCCUCAUCAACUGGUCUGCUUACUUCUGUUUUGUAGUUUUUGCCAGUCAGUCGGGGCUGGGCUGAGCGUGUGAAAGCAGCAAGCGAGACUCUCACGGGCAGGAUGGACGCCAGAGAGCAGACGCUGAGCAUCCUGAACAGGAUAUGGUUCAAGCUGCAUAAUCUGCCCAACGCCAACCCCAUAGAGCUGGGAGCCUUCUUCAUCCUCUUAACCUUCAUCUUGGUGGUCCUGCUCAUUACGGUGCUCACCUGCGUGAACUGCUGCUGCUGCUGCUGCUGUCGCAAGGCCAGGACAAAGGCAUCCAACAUUUGAGCGAAUGUGCUCCCCACGGGGGAAAUCUAACAUGACGAGACAACUGCUGGCUUUCUCUGCAGCUCUCACAAGCUUGAGCAAAUGAAAACUCCAAUAUUAUGCUCCUAUAUUAGACAUUUGAGCAAGCAACACAGCUUCAUACAGGGUGUGUUCAGUGGCACCAGAGGAGCCCAACCCUCGGAAAACAAAACAGCUGUCAAACACGGAGAAGGAUUUCAACCUGACACACCUGCCAAAGCUGCCAGGUUUUCAGGAGAAUCUACAUUCCUUGGAGCAUCCCUGCGCUUUACAGGGCAACAACAACACGUCUGACCUGAGGAAACCCCAAGUGUCUUUCAUAAUGCAAGCAAAUGCAUGGGGUGUGAGCUGUAAAAAAACUGCAGUGAGUUGCAUAAAGUGAGAUAUGAAGGGGAGAGCCAAAUUAGUUUGUAAAUGUUUUUCUAAACCUCAUUAUGUAUCAUUCUGAAGGAAUGAGAGUUGGCAGUCUGACAUAAAGUUAGGUAAGCUCAAAGUGUUCCUUUACACACUUCACAACAGAGAUCAAGUCUGCCCUCUGCUGUGCAAAAACCAAAAUGGACUAUUAUUUUGAAAAACAUGCAUGUAAUGAGAGAGAUGUUUAAUGUAUAAAACGGCAUGUUAUAUUAUGUGCAAUGGGUGGAAACAGUAUGUAAUCAUGUGAUGCUUUGACUUUUCUACACAAUAAACAAAAA
Centropristis striata (black sea bass) is the source of this 1489-nucleotide long non-coding RNA. RefSeq lists it as uncharacterized. The transcript has 3 exons. NCBI's taxonomy places the organism in Eukaryota, Metazoa, Chordata, Actinopteri, Perciformes, Serranidae. The record is from RefSeq and is a predicted model, not a curated record.